GCCCUCGUGGAUCAAGGUGAUUGCCCCUAUUCGGUCAAAGUGCUAAGGGAUGAUUUGAUCGCGGGGAGGCGGAGGUUCGAUUCCUCCCGAGGGCC
Non-coding RNA from Mycena olivaceomarginata, 95 nucleotides. Lineage: Eukaryota; Fungi; Basidiomycota; Agaricomycetes; Agaricales; Mycenaceae. The record is from the annotation of a GenBank genome assembly.